RNAcentral lists this transfer RNA (69 nucleotides) under Schistocephalus solidus. It matches the Rfam family "tRNA". From Rfam's summary of the family: Transfer RNA (tRNA) molecules are approximately 80 nucleotides in length. Their secondary structure includes four short double-helical elements and three loops (D, anti-codon, and T loops). Further hydrogen bonds mediate the characteristic L-shaped molecular structure. tRNAs have two regions of fundamental functional importance: the anti-codon, which is responsible for specific mRNA codon recognition, and the 3' end, to which the tRNAs corresponding amino acid is attached (by aminoacyl-tRNA synthetases). tRNAs cope with the degeneracy of the genetic code in two manners: having more than one tRNA (with a specific anti-codon) for a particular amino acid; and 'wobble' base-pairing, i.e. permitting non-standard base-pairing at the 3rd anti-codon position. Lineage: Eukaryota; Metazoa; Platyhelminthes; Cestoda; Diphyllobothriidea; Diphyllobothriidae. The record is from Rfam by way of RNAcentral.
GAGCCCGUGGCUCAAUGGUAGAGCGUUCGACUCAAAUACCAAAGGUCGCGGGUUCGAAUCCCAGGUUUU